UGAUGAGGUGUGGUAUUCAGUGGAAUUUC
This 29-nucleotide non-coding RNA is filed under the name Rattus norvegicus (Norway rat). Lineage: Eukaryota; Metazoa; Chordata; Mammalia; Rodentia; Muridae. The record is from RNAcentral.